AUACGUAGGGGGCGAGCGUUGUCCGGAAUGAUUGGGCGUAAAGGGCGCGUAGGCGGCGCGGUAAGUCUGGAGUGAAAGUCCUGCUUUCAAGGUGGAAUUGCUUUGGAUACUGCCGCGCUUGAGUGCAGGAGAGGUUAUCGGAAUUCCCGGUGUAGCGGUGAAAUGCGUAGAGAUCGGGAGGAACACCAGUGGCGAAGGCGGGUAACUGGACUGCAACUGACGCUGAGGCGCGAAAGUGUGGGGAGCAAACAGGAUUAGAUACCCUGGUAGUCCACACUGUAAACGAUGAAUGCUAGGUGUAAGAGGUAUCGACCCCUUUUGUGCCGGAGUCAACACAAUAGGCAUUCCGCCUGGGGAGUACGGCCGCAAGGUUGAAACUCAAAUGAAUUGACGGGG
This 396-nucleotide ribosomal RNA is filed under the name uncultured bacterium. RNAcentral describes it as "partial 16S ribosomal RNA". It matches the Rfam family "Bacterial small subunit ribosomal RNA", at positions 523 to 918 of the family's 1533-position model. The record is from RNAcentral.